AGCUAAUCAACAUAAACUUGGCAAAUUCAAGAUACUGUAAACGAAAAUCUAAAGGUCUAACUGUAUUCUUGACACACUUAAUUUAAAUACAACAAUUUGAGAUACAUUGAAGAGCCCAGUCACGUUUUAACAAACUGAAAAUAGCUACUGCAUUUUGGAGUACGAAUCUGGGCUAUAGAAUCAGCCCAGUAACAUGAAACUUUGAAGAUACUACUAGUGCAAUCUCAAGUGGAGUUCUAUAUGAACAAAGAAAAACAAUUGCUAAUGAAUCGACAACCCAUUGGUCCUGAAAUAAAUUACAAAGUUUCACUGAUAGAAUUUCAAAUCUAUGCUUUAAUUACAACAACUUUCCAAGAGAGAUCAUUCCUGGCACAUUACUUCCAUCCUUUUCGCACUUUUCAAGUUUACAAUAAGAUAGCCACUGAGCUACUCUUGUAACCGAGAUCUGCCAAACGAACUCUCAAGUGAGAAGAUGGCAUCAAAACUAGCUUAAUAAACAGGAAUAUCACUUAGGAUAAAGUACUUCAUUUUAGAAAGAUAAACCAAUGUUAAUACUAUGAAUCCUAUCAGCCAAUAAUACUUAAUUUGGACUUUUCUAUAGAGCAUGACAAGAAUUCAUCAAAAGAAAAAAAACAAAAUAUCUAGACAGAUUAAAUCACUAACACACGAUGGUUUGUAUUUUUAUUUAACAGAUAACAGUGCAAUAUUACAGGUGAGCAUAGACAUACCUAGCUGCAGAAAAGCCAACCAAAUGACCAAAUAAAGGUCUAAAUAUGAAAGAGAAAAGUUCAGCUACGAGCGAGCAGAACCAGCAAUUUCCAGCAACAGAAAAACAGCAUCAAGACCAAAAUAAAACCCAAAAGCCCAAAGCUGGAGCUUGGUCACAGCAGAAUGAAUAAAAAAAACAAAGUAAAGACUUCUUUGACUCAAACAAAUAUGGAAAAUCCAGGAAAACAAACAACCACUGAGUAUAAACUUAGAAAAACAAAUUUUCUUCUUCUCUGGCUUUUCUGUAUCUAAGUUUAAAUUCACAUUGCCAUUUUUUUUUUGGAAAAUCAAUGAGUAUCUAGAGUGUGUGUUCUUCGGUGUAUUUGAGAGGAAUGCUCAGUGCCUUUUUCGUGUGUGUGAAGAGUGUAUAUAUGCUGAAUGCUGAAUGAAAGAGGGUCUGUCAGAAAAAUAAUAUUCAGCGUGAAUUUAGGGAGUGUCAAAGGGGAAAGGAAUAUUUUGCAACUGAAAAUGCCAGCUGUUACUUCUAGAAGCAGACUCUCUGCUUAAAUCUGGGCUAAGUGCCAUGGCCAAAUGGCCCAAGACAGGCCCAAUCCGGCUUCAAUAGGGAAAAUCCCAAAAUACAACAAAUGUCAUAUUUUGAACUCCAAUUAUAAUCAGGGAUUUUACUAAAUGCCAACUUUAAAUUAAUCUAAAUCAGUUUAUUAGUUAAACUAAUUGAGCAUGCAAUUAAAAGUGAAACUUAAUGAACAAUCCAAAAAGAAAAGAAAGAGAGAAAGAAAAACAUAAUAAGAACAGGGAAUAAAAGAACACUAAUUUAAUCCUUAAAGGAGUGAGAGAACGAAGCAAACCGGCGAGCAAACGGAGAUGAUGAAUUAUGGCCGUCAAAAAUGAGUUGAUCGGACUCCAGUUAUAUUUCGAAAUGUAUCAAAAUUAACCCAAAACGAUUGCUCUUGUCAAGAGCAAUCGAUUCGUGUGAGAUUCAAACCAAAACGAACAACCAUUACUGCAGAAGUCAACAAAUAUGUGAAACUAGAUUUUUUCUCUAAUUUCAUAUCUGGGAUUGGAUGAAUUCAAGUGGGUUUUGGGGGAUAAAACUAAGAGAUUAAGAGUGAGGGGAAUGUGGGGAUUGUAUGGUGUUAGAUUAGGGUUGUUUGGAGCUCCGGUCGCCGGUGAGGUGGGUUGGGAAUUUUUAGGGCUAGGUUUUGGAGAUGAGGGAGAUGAAGAAGAAAUGAAAGUAGUCUU
This 1971-nucleotide long non-coding RNA is filed under the name Nicotiana tabacum (common tobacco). Its description in RNAcentral is "long non-coding RNA (NTAB_LNC014399)". The record is from RNAcentral. Lineage: Eukaryota; Viridiplantae; Streptophyta; Magnoliopsida; Solanales; Solanaceae.